AUGGCUUUUGUGCAACAUCAAAAGGGUCCUGAUGUAGUGAGAUCGUUCGGAUUGUUACAACCUCUAGCAGAUGGUUUGAAAUUGAUUCUAAAAGAACAUAUUUCACCAAGUAGUGCUAAUUUUUCCCUUGUUAGAAUGGCUCCAGUGGCUACAUUUAUGUUAAGUCUGGUCGCUUGGGCCUUUGUACCUUUUGAUUAUGGUAUGGUAUUGUCAGAUCCGAACAUAGGGCUACUUUAUUUGUUUGCCAUAUCUUCGCUAGGUGUUUAUGGAAUAAUUAUAGCAGGUUGGUCUAGUAAGAUGGGGGGCGGCCGUUCGGUCGCCUAUGAUAUACGGACCAAUUGGUCAAAAUGGGUUUGUGCCGCAGGUGUUGAAUGAUCUACUCUACACAGGUGUGGGCUUACAGGGCUAGGGCUCAUAAACCCUUUCUUUCAUUCAUCAAGGGGUCAGUCACUUUUCCAGGCCAGGAUCGAGAAGUGGAAGUCAUAA
This 486-nucleotide ribosomal RNA is filed under the name Triticum aestivum (bread wheat). RNAcentral describes it as "partial small subunit ribosomal RNA". The record is from RNAcentral. Lineage: Eukaryota; Viridiplantae; Streptophyta; Magnoliopsida; Poales; Poaceae.